AUCGUAGUUCUUAAAGGUAGGUAUACAAUAAUAAUGUUAUGCUUAUUAUUUGGGAUUAUGAUUUAACAACUCUUCGAUUAUUUAGUUUUAUGAAUAGAUAAAAAAAACAAUAUGUAUAUUAUGUAAAACCAAAAAUUGAUAUUUACAACGUUGAAACGCAAUAAUUAAUAUUAAUAAUAUCGUAAACGUGUACCUACGUACAUUAUAAUAAUACUCGCGGAAAAUUAAAUAUUAUAGUAAGUACAUGCAUCCACGUACAUGGAUAACCUACAACAAUAAGUAUGAGACGAACGGUUGAGAAACAAAAUAAAUACAUAAAUAUAAUUUUUUUUUUUUUUUUUUUCAAAUGUGUAAUGUGUAAUUUGUAAUGCUAAUAUUAUUAUACAACGGAUAACAGGCAAUAUUAAUAUUGCGAUAAUUGUAUACAAUACUAUUGAAUUAAUUGUAUAAUAUCAAGUGUACUUUCGCGGGUUUGAAAACCAGAACAAUGUCAAAGUAGAUUUCAUGCGAAACGGUAUUAUUGAAUUUCGCGACUUUGCGGGCGCGUCGUCUUUCGGAGAAUAUCAUCAUUGUAAUAAGAGAUCAGGAGGGACUCGGGGCAUUCGUCAUCUCUGCGUGAUUUUAUAAUUCGGUCGCUUUUACCUAACAGUUUCUGUUUUUUUUUUUUUUUUUUAUGCUUUCAAUACAAACCGAACUUUAUCGAAGUCGAUGUUAUUAAGUGUUAACGGGAAAUUUCGGUAUAAAUCGUAUUGGUAAACCGACGCGGAGCGUCUAUUAUACCGAGCUCUCCGCUAUGUUCUAUACAAUCUACGGUACUUCGCUAUAAAUUACGGUUCUGUUAGAGAUCGAAUUAUUGAUAGAAAAAAAAAAAAAAAAAUGUCAAUGUCCCGUCUUUAUCUACAUAACUCCGGGACGGCGAUUGUGACUGUGCAAUAGUAUGCAAUCGUUAAAACUACGGUAAAAACCGGGGCGAAUAUAAUACACACAUCAAUUUAUCGUCAGACCUUGUCUUCGUGGUUUUUUUUCGUCUCUGACGAACCGAAACGUACACACGCGGGGAGGGUCUACAAUUAUGUAUAUUGGCAAUAUCGUUAUAUUCGUGGUAACUGAGAUUGGUAUGUCAGCAAUACCCGAAACGACGAGAGGAUCGACGAUCACAUCGCCUAGCGGUUAUUCGUGAAAUAAACGGAUAGUCGAAUAUCAUAUUAUUGUUCUGCGCGGGUAUAUAAACCCGUAAACUUUAUUAACUGUGAUUACGGAUAAUAUUGGGUCAAAUACGGACGCCAUUUUGAUUGAAAUGAUGUGCGCGUCGCAACGUACGGUAGCUGAUAUCACCUAAAUUAUUUGCAUAGACAUAAUACAUAUGGACUGCGCUCGAUGUGUUAACAGCAGGGUCGUCAUUCAAAUCAUUUACCCCUGGACUGGUAGCUAAAAUCAACGGGCGGGGGGGGAAAAAUAAUCGUUUUUCGUUUUUCCGUGGUAAUAUUUCUUACUGUCAGUAUUUCGGACGUAAGGUGAAAAAUCACAUGAUCAACCAUGAUAAAUAUUAUUGAAAUUUGACAGUUAUAAAAGUGAUAAAAUAUUAUGUCCAUGAUAACUCCCGUGGAAAACGCAACCAUUUGUUUUUCUCCUCCGUGAUAAUUGACUACCAAUAUGAGAAUGAACAACACGAAUAAUGAUGAGCACCAGCUACAGGCAGUCCAUGUAAAUUGUGUCUAUGAUUAUUUGUGACGAUUUGACCGGCAUUCAAAUUGUUCGACUGUAGAUAGCGCCAAUAUCGUUUAUUGUAUGGGAGCUCCCUUAUAUUUGUUUGUGCUUUUUGUCGUUUGUUUUAUCGUUUUAUCGUUCGUCACCGGGAAAGUGUAGCACACGCUCUCACACAACGAACCGCCACCAGAGACCCUUUAAAUUUAGAAAUCGCACAAGAUAUCGAAUAAAUCGUGGUUGAUAUAAUUAAUAAUUAAUCGAAUACGAUAUUAUUUUUGCAUUAUAUUAUAAUGUGCUUAGAUUUACGUACGCCGUUAUUUCUAUACUAUAUGGUUAUCAAUUAUCAUCGUGUUAGUAUAAACAAUGUUGUAAGUUAAAUACUUCGCGACGCUUUGUAUUGUUAAAAUGUUUUAUAUAAUAUUUAAAGUACACGCAAUAACGAAAAG
Non-coding RNA from Cinara cedri, 2153 nucleotides. NCBI's taxonomy places the organism in Eukaryota, Metazoa, Arthropoda, Insecta, Hemiptera, Aphididae. The record is from the annotation of a GenBank genome assembly.